This 253-nucleotide ribosomal RNA is filed under the name uncultured prokaryote. RNAcentral's name for it is "partial 16S ribosomal RNA". It matches the Rfam family "Bacterial small subunit ribosomal RNA", at positions 524 to 776 of the family's 1533-position model. The record is from RNAcentral.
UACGUAGGGGGCGAGCGUUGUCCGGAAUUACUGGGCGUAAAGCGCGCGUAGGCGGCCCGGCGCAUCUGCAGUGAAAGCCCUGGGCUCAACCCAGGGAGGCCUGUGGAGAUGGCCGGGCUGGAGGGCAGUAGAGGCAAGCGGAAGUCCCGAAGUAGUGGUGAAAUGCGUAGAGAUCGGGAGGAACACCCGAGGCGAAGGCGGCUUGCUGGGCUGCGCCUGACGCUGAGGCGCGAAAGCUAGGGGAGCGAACGGA